AUGAAAUCAUAAAAUAAAAGAUGAAUCAUAAUAAAAAGCAAAUCGAUGUUUGUAAGUAUAAUAUCGAUGAGUCAUUCAAGUAUCUGAUCUAUCAGCUUCGAUGGUAGGGUAUUGGCCUACGAUGGCGUUGACGGGUAACGGAUCUUUAGGGAGAGAAUCCGGAGAGGGAGCCUGAGAAACGGCUACCACAUCCAAGGAAGGCAGCAGGCGCGGAAAUUACCCAAUCCUGAAUCGGGGAGUAGUGACAAGAAAUAGUAUGGUGGUUUUUGUAUAAUAAAAAUUACCAAAAAUGAGUUAAAUAUAUAUCCGUUAACGAGGAUCAAUUGGAGGGCAAGUCUGGUGCCAGCAGCCGCGGUAAUUCCAGCUCCAAUAGCGUAUAUUAAAGUUGUUGCCAGUUAAAAAAGCUCGUAGUUGAAAGAAUGAAUGGUUGAUGAGUAAUUUUAUGGUAUUGUUUUGAAGAUUGUUGUUUGUAAAAGAACCAUCAAGUUUAGAUA
This 494-nucleotide ribosomal RNA is filed under the name uncultured eukaryote. RNAcentral describes it as "bacterial SSU rRNA". It matches the Rfam family "Eukaryotic small subunit ribosomal RNA", at positions 229 to 722 of the family's 1831-position model. The record is from RNAcentral.